RNAcentral lists this ribosomal RNA (450 nucleotides) under uncultured bacterium. RNAcentral describes it as "bacterial SSU rRNA". It matches the Rfam family "Bacterial small subunit ribosomal RNA", at positions 29 to 526 of the family's 1533-position model. The record is from RNAcentral.
AGCGAACGCUGGCGGCAGGCCUAACACAUGCAAGUCGAACGCCCCGCAAGGGGAGUGGCAGACGGGUGAGUAACGCGUGGGAACGUACCUUUCGGUUCGGAAUAACCCGGGGAAACUCGGGCUAAUACCGGAUACGUCCGCAAGGAGAAAGAUUUAUCGCCGAAAGAUCGGCCCGCGUUGGAUUAGCUAGUUGGUGAGGUAAUGGCUCACCAAGGCGAUGAUCCAUAGCUGGUCUGAGAGGACGAUCAGCCACACUGGGACUGAGACACGGCCCAGACUCCUACGGGAGGCAGCAGUGGGGAAUAUUGGACAAUGGGCGCAAGCCUGAUCCAGCCAUGCCGCGUGAGUGAUGAAGGCCUUAGGGUUGUAAAGCUCUUUUACCAGGGAAGAUAAUGACGGUACCUGGAGAAUAAGCCCCGGCUAACUUCGUGCCAGCCGCCGCCGUAACAC